CGCCUGUGAUGAUUUUAUUGAAUAAGAGUAGUGGACAGAAGAGAUUUCUGAGAAAUCUGUAACUGAGGCA
Small nucleolar RNA from Paramormyrops kingsleyae, 70 nucleotides. Ensembl annotates it as small nucleolar RNA SNORD75. NCBI's taxonomy places the organism in Eukaryota, Metazoa, Chordata, Actinopteri, Osteoglossiformes, Mormyridae. The record is from Ensembl.